UCCGCGUCCCAUUAGCUAGUUGGUGGGGUAACGGCCCACCAAGGCGACGAUGGGUAGCCGGUCUGAGAGGAUGACCGGCCACACUGGGACUGGAACACGGCCCAGACUCCUACGGGAGGCAGCAGUGGGGAAUAUUGCGCAAUGGGCGAAAGCCUGACGCAGCGACGCCGCGUGAGGGAUGAAGGUCCUCGGAUCGUAAACCUCUGUCAGGAGGGAAGAACCGCCACGGUGCUAAUCAGCCGUGGUCUGACGGUACCUCCAAAGGAAGCACCGGCUAACUCCGUGCCAGCAGCCGCGGUAAUACGGAGGGUGCGAGCGUUAAUCGGAAUCACUGGGCGUAAAGCGCACGUAGGCUGCUUGGUAAGUCAGGGGUGAAAGCCCGCGGNUCAACCGCGGAAUUGCCUUUGAUACUGCCGAGCU
Molecule: ribosomal RNA, 420 nt
Filed under: uncultured Desulfovibrio sp.
Lineage: Bacteria; Pseudomonadati; Thermodesulfobacteriota; Desulfovibrionia; Desulfovibrionales; Desulfovibrionaceae
Description: bacterial SSU rRNA
Rfam family: Bacterial small subunit ribosomal RNA
Source: RNAcentral